AUGGACAAAGCAUCACUGCUAUCUGAUGCAGUGUGCUAUAUAAAUGAACUGAAGGCCAAAAUAGAUGAACUGGAGUCACUCCUACAAAGAGAGUCCAAAAGGGUGAAACUGGAAGUGGCUGAUAAUACAGAUAAUCAAAGCACAACCACUUCUGUAGAUCAAGCCAGACCUAAUAAUUCUGGUGGAGCUGGGUUUGCACUUGAAAUUGAUGUUAUGAUUAUAGGUAAUGAAGCCAUGAUUAGGGUUCAAUCUGAGAAUGUGAAUCAUCCAGGUGCUAGGUUAUUGGCUGCACUACGCGACCUAGAAUUUCAAGUGCACCAUGCUAGCAUAUCCACUGUUAACGAGCUCACGCUUCAAGAUGUGGUAGUUAGACUUCCUAAUAAUGGAUUCAGAACUAAUGAGGGCUUGAAAUCUGCACUCCUGGGAAGACUAGAACAAUAAGAUUUACUGUUGUUGAUUGCUAUUAGUUAAUAUGUAAUGGACCUUAUGUUUAAGUUUAAUUCUUGAUUUUCCAUUACUAUAUGUAAGAAA
This 531-nucleotide unclassified non-coding RNA is filed under the name Hevea brasiliensis (rubber tree). Lineage: Eukaryota; Viridiplantae; Streptophyta; Magnoliopsida; Malpighiales; Euphorbiaceae. The record is from RNAcentral.